GGGGAUGUAGCUCAGGGGUAGAGUGCUUGCUUAGCAUGCACAAGGCCCUGGGUUUGAUUCCCCAGUAUCACCA
RNAcentral lists this transfer RNA (73 nucleotides) under Marmota marmota marmota (Alpine marmot). It matches the Rfam family "tRNA". Rfam says of the family: Transfer RNA (tRNA) molecules are approximately 80 nucleotides in length. Their secondary structure includes four short double-helical elements and three loops (D, anti-codon, and T loops). Lineage: Eukaryota; Metazoa; Chordata; Mammalia; Rodentia; Sciuridae. The record is from Rfam by way of RNAcentral. RNAcentral also lists the same sequence under 3 other names.